Zea mays is the source of this 212-nucleotide long non-coding RNA. RefSeq lists it as uncharacterized. The record is from RefSeq and is a predicted model, not a curated record. The transcript is spliced from 2 exons. NCBI's taxonomy places the organism in Eukaryota, Viridiplantae, Streptophyta, Magnoliopsida, Poales, Poaceae.
AUAGUAUAGUAAAUAAACAUAGUGGUAUGUCUAAUCGUCUUUAAGCCUUUCGUACUUCUGCACUGCUACUGAUGAUGCAUCCUCACCAUGAGAAGGUAUAGGAAACUUUGACAGGAAUGGGAUGACCAAUAACUCCCCAAUUGAGCUCAUUUCAGAUUUCCCUUUAUUUUUAUCACCUUUCUUACGCUUUGAUGCUGCAGAUGCAACUGGUG